This is a long non-coding RNA of Hyaena hyaena (striped hyena), 424 nucleotides long. RefSeq lists it as uncharacterized. NCBI's taxonomy places the organism in Eukaryota, Metazoa, Chordata, Mammalia, Carnivora, Hyaenidae. The transcript has 4 exons. The record is from RefSeq and is a predicted model, not a curated record.
CUCUAAGUCACAGGACACUCUGGAAGGUGGUGGAAGGAGGCAAGUGAAGGCUCCGGGUCACCUUCCACCCUCUGGCAGCACAUAGGGACCAGCGGGGACCCAGCGACAUCGGAUGAACCCAGGACAGAAUUCACAAGGGAUGAAAGAUUGUCUACCAGGACGCAUGGCCGCGGGGACAGUAGGCUGGCACGCAGGAUGCUCAGCGUGGACUGUUCAGUGCCUUGACGGCGGUGAAGAUGCAGAACUAACCUGCUGAAUUAAGGCCGUCACUGUGUGCAAAGCACUGAGGAUGCUGCCUGGCAGGGAACAGAGGGCCGCUGGAGCAGAGGCUUAUGCAUUAGCCGAUGCCGGAUCCCAUGUCGAGAGAGAUUCUGAGUGUGAGCCCAACACACAGACGCUGGGAGCCACUGUAGUUCCUGCACAA